Molecule: transfer RNA, 63 nt
Filed under: Monodelphis domestica (gray short-tailed opossum)
Lineage: Eukaryota; Metazoa; Chordata; Mammalia; Didelphimorphia; Didelphidae
Rfam family: tRNA
About the family: Transfer RNA (tRNA) molecules are approximately 80 nucleotides in length. Their secondary structure includes four short double-helical elements and three loops (D, anti-codon, and T loops). Further hydrogen bonds mediate the characteristic L-shaped molecular structure. tRNAs have two regions of fundamental functional importance: the anti-codon, which is responsible for specific mRNA codon recognition, and the 3' end, to which the tRNAs corresponding amino acid is attached (by aminoacyl-tRNA synthetases). tRNAs cope with the degeneracy of the genetic code in two manners: having more than one tRNA (with a specific anti-codon) for a particular amino acid; and 'wobble' base-pairing, i.e. permitting non-standard base-pairing at the 3rd anti-codon position.
Source: Rfam by way of RNAcentral
CUUUGGCGCAGUUGGUAGAGCAUCAGUCUGCAAGCUCAAGGUCCUGAGUUCGAUUCUCAGAAG